Molecule: ribosomal RNA, 1312 nt
Filed under: Paenarthrobacter aurescens
Lineage: Bacteria; Bacillati; Actinomycetota; Actinomycetes; Micrococcales; Micrococcaceae
Description: bacterial SSU rRNA
Rfam family: Bacterial small subunit ribosomal RNA
Source: RNAcentral
UUGCUGGGGGAUUAGUGGCGAACGGGUGAGUAACACGUGAGUAACCUGCCCUUGACUCUGGGAUAAGCCUGGGAAACUGGGUCUAAUACCGGAUAUGACCAUCUGACGCAUGUCAUGGUGGUGGAAAGCUUUUGUGGUUUUGGAUGGACUCGCGGCCUAUCAGCUUGUUGGUGGGGUAAUGGCCUACCAAGGCGACGACGGGUAGCCGGCCUGAGAGGGUGACCGGCCACACUGGGACUGAGACACGGCCCAGACUCCUACGGGAGGCAGCAGUGGGGAAUAUUGCACAAUGGGCGGAAGCCUGAUGCAGCGACGCCGCGUGAGGGAUGACGGCCUUCGGGUUGUAAACCUCUUUCAGUAGGGAAGAAGCGAAAGUGACGGUACCUGCAGAAGAAGCGCCGGCUAACUACGUGCCAGCAGCCGCGGUAAUACGUAGGGCGCAAGCGUUAUCCGGAAUUAUUGGGCGUAAAGAGCUCGUAGGCGGUUUGUCGCGUCUGCUGUGAAAGACCGGGGCUCAACUCCGGUUCUGCAGUGGGUACGGGCAGACUAGAGUGCAGUAGGGGAGACUGGAAUUCCUGGUGUAGCGGUGAAAUGCGCAGAUAUCAGGAGGAACACCGAUGGCGAAGGCAGGUCUCUGGGCUGUAACUGACGCUGAGGAGCGAAAGCAUGGGGAGCGAACAGGAUUAGAUACCCUGGUAGUCCAUGCCGUAAACGUUGGGCACUAGGUGUGGGGGACAUUCCACGUUUUCCGCGCCGUAGCUAACGCAUUAAGUGCCCCGCCUGGGGAGUACGGCCGCAAGGCUAAAACUCAAAGGAAUUGACGGGGGCCCGCACAAGCGGCGGAGCAUGCGGAUUAAUUCGAUGCAACGCGAAGAACCUUACCAAGGCUUGACAUGAACCGGAAAGACCUGGAAACAGGUGCCCCGCUUGCGGUCGGUUUACAGGUGGUGCAUGGUUGUCGUCAGCUCGUGUCGUGAGAUGUUGGGUUAAGUCCCGCAACGAGCGCAACCCUCGUUCUAUGUUGCCAGCGCGUGAUGGCGGGGACUCAUAGGAGACUGCCGGGGUCAACUCGGAGGAAGGUGGGGACGACGUCAAAUCAUCAUGCCCCUUAUGUCUUGGGCUUCACGCAUGCUACAAUGGCCGGUACAAAGGGUUGCGAUACUGUGAGGUGGAGCUAAUCCCAAAAAGCCGGUCUCAGUUCGGAUUGGGGUCUGCAACUCGACCCCAUGAAGUCGGAGUCGCUAGUAAUCGCAGAUCAGCAACGCUGCGGUGAAUACGUUCCCGGGCCUUGUACACACCGCCCGUCAAGUCA